Molecule: ribosomal RNA, 492 nt
Filed under: uncultured bacterium
Lineage: Bacteria
Description: partial 16S ribosomal RNA
Rfam family: Bacterial small subunit ribosomal RNA
Source: RNAcentral
GGUGAACGCUGGCGGUAGGCCUAACACAUGCAAGUCGAACGGCAGCACAGUAAGAGCUUGCUCUUACGGGUGGCGAGUGGCGGACGGGUGAGGAAUACAUCGGAAUCUACUUUUUCGUGGGGGAUAACGUAGGGAAACUUACGCUAAUACCGCAUACGACCUACGGGUGAAAGCAGGGGAUCUUCGGACCUUGCGCGAUUGAAUGAGCCGAUGUCGGAUUAGCUAGUUGGCGGGGUAAAGGCCCACCAAGGCGACGAUCCGUAGCUGGUCUGACAGGAUGAUCAGCCACACUGGAACUGAGACACGGUCCAGACUCCUACGGGAGGCAGCAGUGGGGAAUAUUGGACAAUGGGCGCAAGCCUGAUCCAGCCAUACCGCGUGGGUGAAGAAGGCCUUCGGGUUGUAAAGCCCUUUUGUUGGGAAAGAAAAGCAGCAGGUUAAUACCCCGCUGUUCUGACGGUACCCAAAGAAUAAGCACCGGCUAACUUCGUG